UCGCUGCCCGGAACUGAGCCGUCUCGAGAAGAUCAGGGACUGUCGUCUGAUGGCUUUUCGGCUGUCCUUCGAUGGAAACUGAUUUAAUCGGUAUGGCUUGAACCGGGCAA
RNAcentral lists this ribosomal RNA (110 nucleotides) under uncultured eukaryote. Its description in RNAcentral is "partial small subunit ribosomal RNA". The record is from RNAcentral.